RNAcentral lists this ribosomal RNA (468 nucleotides) under uncultured bacterium. RNAcentral describes it as "partial 16S ribosomal RNA". It matches the Rfam family "Bacterial small subunit ribosomal RNA", at positions 28 to 507 of the family's 1533-position model. The record is from RNAcentral.
GACGAACGCUGGCGGCGUGCUUAACACAUGCAAGUCGAACGGAAAGGCCCUGCUUUUGUGGGGUGCUCGAGGGGCGAAGGGGUGAGUAACACGUGAGUAACCUGUCCUUGACUUUGGGAUAACUUCAGGCAACUGGGGCUAAUACCGGAUAGGAUCUCCUGCUGCAUGGUGGGGGUUGGUAAGUUUCGGCGGUUGGGGAUGGACUCGCGGCUUAUGAGCUUGUUGGUGGGGUAGUGGCUUACCAAGGCUAUGACGGGUAGCCGGCCUGAGAGGGUUACCGGCCACAUUGGGACUGAGAUACGGCCCAGACUCCUACGGGACGCAGCAGUGGAGAAUAUUGCACAAUGGGCGGAAGCCUGAUGCAGCAAAGCCGCGUGCGGGAUGACGACCUUCGGGUUGUAAACCGAUUUCGCCUGUGACGAGGCGUGAGUGACGGUAAUGGGUAAAGAAGCACCGGCUAACUACGUG